AAUAACAAUCAAUUAAAAAAUAAUUAAAAGAUCAAACAACAUUGAUCAAGCAAGAUGGAGAACGCUCAUCUCAACUUGGCAUUACUAGCAGUAUUUUUGUUCAUGUUAUUGCAUGUCAAUGGGAAGAGCAUCAAGAAUACAAAUGGAUGCACCUCAGAUGAUCAUUGCAGAACUGUUCGAUGCCCAGAAGGUCUCUCUACUCGUUGCUUGGAUGGCCAUUGUCGCUGCGCACAGAGCCAAAAGCACACAGUUGAGCAAUUUAUUGAUGGGAGAAACACAAAACCAGAGUUACAAGCUUGUAAGAAAGAUAGUGAUUGCACUUCCUUUUGUGCUCCCAAAUGCAAAUUUGUAAAUUGCGUUGGCGGUGUAUGCUUUUGUAGUUGCUAAUUAAGCCUAAAAAAUAUUUGAUUAUGUUAUCAAAUAAUGAGAAUUAAAUAAAGGGUGUUUGGUUAUCGGAAUUCAACAAUA
Jatropha curcas is the source of this 468-nucleotide non-coding RNA. The record is from RefSeq and is a predicted model, not a curated record. NCBI's taxonomy places the organism in Eukaryota, Viridiplantae, Streptophyta, Magnoliopsida, Malpighiales, Euphorbiaceae.